GACAGAGGGGGCAAGCGUUGCUCGGAAUUACUGGGCGUAAAGGGCGCGUAGGCGGCCUACUAAGUCGGACGUGAAAUCCCUCGGCUCAACCGAGGAACUGCGUCCGAUACUGGUGGGCUUGAAUCCGGGAGAGGGAUGUGGAAUUCCAGGUGUAGCGGUGAAAUGCGUAGAGAUCCGGAAGAACACCGGUGGCGAAGGCGGUCUGCUGGGCAGUGGCUCGCAAGGGCCAAUAGCCGACACUGAGGCGCGACAGCGUGGGGAGCAAACAGG
This 270-nucleotide ribosomal RNA is filed under the name uncultured bacterium. RNAcentral's name for it is "partial 16S ribosomal RNA". It matches the Rfam family "Bacterial small subunit ribosomal RNA", at positions 524 to 776 of the family's 1533-position model. The record is from RNAcentral.